RNAcentral lists this microRNA (21 nucleotides) under Tetranychus urticae (two-spotted spider mite). RNAcentral describes it as "tur-miR-5732-3p". Lineage: Eukaryota; Metazoa; Arthropoda; Arachnida; Trombidiformes; Tetranychidae. The record is from miRBase by way of RNAcentral.
UGCCACAGCUAUGACUGUACC